UGGGGAAUAUUGCACAAUGGGCGCAAGCCUGAUGCAGCGACGCCGCGUGAGGGAUGACGGCCUUCGGGUUGUAAACCUCUGUUAGCAGGGAAGAAGAGAAAUUGACGGUACCUGCAGAGAAAGCGCCGGCUAACUACGUGCCAGCAGCCGCGGUAAUACGUAGGGCGCGAGCGUUGUCCGGAAUUAUUGGGCGUAAAGAGCUUGUAGGCGGUUUGUCGCGUCUGCUGUGAAAGGCCGGGGCUUAACCCCGUGUAUUGCAGUGGGUACGGGCAGACUAGAGUGCAGUAGGGGAGACUGGAACUCCUGGUGUAGCGGUGGAAUGCGCAGAUAUCAGGAAGAACACCGAUGGCGAAGGCAGGUCUC
RNAcentral lists this ribosomal RNA (363 nucleotides) under uncultured bacterium. RNAcentral's name for it is "bacterial SSU rRNA". It matches the Rfam family "Bacterial small subunit ribosomal RNA", at positions 355 to 729 of the family's 1533-position model. The record is from RNAcentral.